RNAcentral lists this long non-coding RNA (1702 nucleotides) under Prunus persica (peach). RNAcentral's name for it is "long non-coding RNA (PPER_LNC001133)". The record is from RNAcentral. Lineage: Eukaryota; Viridiplantae; Streptophyta; Magnoliopsida; Rosales; Rosaceae.
CCAAAUUCUUUCUCGAUCAAAAAUUCAACUUUUUCCCCUAUUAAAUAAUGCGAGGGCAAAAUUGUCUUUUUGCUAGAAGAUAUUAAUCCUACUUUUUAGAUAUUUUGUUACUUUUUAGAUAUUUUGUUUUGGGUUAUUACAAUGGGUCUGCAAGAAUGUUGUAUAACUCAUAGGGAUUUUGUUGUUGUUGUUGUUGUUGUUUUUGUUUUUGUUUUGUUUUUUUGUUUUUGGUGAAAAAGGUUACUAGAAGGCAAGUAGUGUUCAAUUUGUAACACUAGCUAUGUGGAAAUAAAAAAAAUAAAAAAAAGGUCUGCUAGAAUGAUUGAUUGAGCAUGAAAUGAGAACUUUGCUUGUCAUGAGCUUGAGUAAUAGAUUGCAUGAUGCUUCGAAAUUUUUUUUUUUGUUUAUGCAUUUCGCUUGACAUGAGAUAGCUUGCUUUGCUUGGCAUGUGAAGUUUCUAUUGCUUGCAUGCUAGUGUGGAGAUUGUUUGGCUUUAACACAGAGAACUUACUUUGUACUUUAACCUUUUGCAGCAUAUUCUUUGUUGGCAAUUCUUGGAGAGAUUCAAGCACUGAGUCACAAUGACCUCUGUGAUGAGUGAUGGCCUAUUUUCCCUUGUACAAUGGGUUGAAGAAGGGACAGCUACCUUCAUAGCUUAGAAACAUUUGCCAAGACUUGAUCAUAGGCACUGAGUAAGCUUUGGAGGCUACUCUCAUUUCCAGGUCUUGUAUAGAAGAAAGACGUGUUUCCAGCGACUUCUUGAGUUUUUUCAAUACCCCUGCAGCAUCACGAAGGGAGUAGUGUUCCGAAAGGGUUUGAGCAAGCAUCUUAUUAGGACCUCGCGUGGACUUCCCGCUUCAUAUUUAGAAGAAGUUAUAUGUCACAUUAUUUUUUAGAGCACGGGCUGCUUGUAGCAUAAAGAUGCAUCUCGAGUCCCCCUUAAACAAGAGUUGUCGUUAAUGUGUUAAGCCUUCAGGAACACAAAUUGGAGAGCCAGUGUCGUAAGCUACACGACCUUCUCCUUGACAAAUGAGCAACUAAGAAUGGCGCUUGGCGUGUGAUGGAAACAUCGAAAGGAUCAUCUCUCCACGCUUCUUCUGUUUUGUUUUAGUCAUGCACCGUGAUCUAAUUGAGGUACCCAAUUCUCCUUCUUUACACCGUAAUAUAUAUAUUAUUUAGCAAGUCCAAAUCUUCCAGCACCAUCCCUCUCUAACACGCAUCCUUAUUUUUUCUUGCAGGUUGCAUUUCUUUGUUGUGGGGAGCUGGCUCGAUGCAUGUAGCUUUUCCAUUUAAAACCACAAGGUGUAUCGAUCUUUAGCACAGUUGACUGCAUUUGGGUUUGAGUUGUAACCCUUUUUUUUUUUUGAGAGCCUAAAGCUCAUGUUGUUGGAAACUUGAAACACAACAUUGGUGCAUACUUUCUGUCAGAACUUUUGAUGUAGAAUGCUUGAGAUAUUAAGCUGCGGCCUGUUUGUACUCUUUGUUUGGUUGGAAAUAAUGAAAUGCAUGAAUUUGUUGAGGUUUGGAUGCAUUGAGAUAAUGAUUUCCAACUUGUUCUGUACACUUUGCUUGGUUGAAAUGCAAGACUUGCUUGAGAUUUUAACAGGUUGGGUUGUGGUAGGUGCAAGGUACAUGCUGCCAAUUUUUUUACAGGAUCACAAAAGUGUUUGCCCCAUUGCCUCUGCAUUUUUUCUACCUCCAC